ACUCAAAGGAAUUGACGGGGGCCCGCACAAGCGGUGGAGCAUGUGGUUUAAUUCGAUGCAACGCGAAAAACCUUACCUGGAUUUGACAUCCUCUGACAUCCCUAGAGAUAGGGCUUUCCCGCAAGGGACAGAGAGACAGGUGCUGCAUGGCUGUCGUCAGCUCGUAUCGUGAGAUGUCGGGUUAAGUCCCUUAACGAGCGCAACCCUUGUCCUUAGUUGCCACCAUUCAGUUGGGCACUCUAAGGAGACUGCCGGUGUUAAACCGGAGGAAGGUGGGGAUGACGUCAAGUCCUCAUGGCCUUUAUAUCCAGGGCUACACACGUGCUACAAUGGCCGGUACAAAGGGUAGCCAACCCGCGAGGGGGAGCUAAUCUCAGAAAGCCGGUCUCAGUUCGGAUUGGAGUCUGCAACUCGACUCCAUGAAGCUGGAAUCGCUAGUAAUCGCGGAUCAGCACGCCGCGGUGAAUACGUUCCCGGGCCUUGUACACACCGCCCGU
This 497-nucleotide ribosomal RNA is filed under the name uncultured bacterium. RNAcentral's name for it is "partial 16S ribosomal RNA". It matches the Rfam family "Bacterial small subunit ribosomal RNA", at positions 899 to 1397 of the family's 1533-position model. The record is from RNAcentral.